RNAcentral lists this ribosomal RNA (468 nucleotides) under uncultured bacterium. Its description in RNAcentral is "partial 16S ribosomal RNA". It matches the Rfam family "Bacterial small subunit ribosomal RNA", at positions 28 to 507 of the family's 1533-position model. The record is from RNAcentral.
GACGAACGCUGGCGGCGUGCUUAACACAUGCAAGUCGAACGGAAAGGCCCUGCGUUUGUGGGGUGCUCGAGUGGCGAACGGGUGAGUAACACGUGAGUAACCUGCCCUUGACUUUGGGAUAACUUCAGGAAACUGGGGCUAAUACCGGAUAGGAGCUCCUGCUGCAGGGUGGGGGUUGGAAAGUUUCGGCGGUUGGGGAUGGACUCGCGGCUUAUCAGCUUGUUGGUGGGGUAGUGGCUUACCAAGGCUUUGACGGGUAGCCGGCCUGAGAGGGUGACCGGCCACAUUGGGACUGAGAUACGGCCCAGACUCCUACGGGAGGCAGCAGUGGGGAAUAUUGCACAAUGGGCGGAAGCCUGAUGCAGCAACGCCGCGUGCGGGAUGACGGCCUUCGGGUUGUAAACCGCUUUCGCCUGUGACGAAGCGUGAGUGACGGUAAUGGGUAAAGAAGCACCGGCUAACUACGUG